CACGUAGGGGGCAAGCGUUGUCCGGAUUUAUUGGGCGUAGAGAGCUCGUAGGUGGUUCGGUAAGUCGGGUGUUAAACCCCCAGGCUCAACCUGGGGACGCCACUCGAUACUGCUGUGACUAGAGUCCGGUAGGGGAGCGUGGAAUUCCUGGUGUAGCGGUGAAAUGCGCAGAUAUCAGGAAGAACACCCGUGGCGAAGGCGGCUCUCUGGGACGGUACUGACGCUGAGACGCGAAAGCGUGGGGAGCGAACAGG
RNAcentral lists this ribosomal RNA (254 nucleotides) under uncultured bacterium. RNAcentral's name for it is "partial 16S ribosomal RNA". It matches the Rfam family "Bacterial small subunit ribosomal RNA", at positions 524 to 776 of the family's 1533-position model. The record is from RNAcentral.